RNAcentral lists this long non-coding RNA (1098 nucleotides) under Felis catus (domestic cat). RNAcentral's name for it is "lncRNA (ENSFCAG00000052385.1)". Lineage: Eukaryota; Metazoa; Chordata; Mammalia; Carnivora; Felidae. The record is from RNAcentral.
UCCAGUCAAUCAGGCCCACGUAACGAGACCCCAAGGAAAGCUGGGCGCCGGGCUUGGGUGCACCUGCCCGAGGUGGACGCAGGAGCGUGCUGGGGGGGCCCCUUCCUGGAGUCCACAGGGACAGGCCACAGACGCUCAGGGCUGGCCCGUGUGUCUCCUCACAGAGGAGGAGACUGCCCCCGGCCCGCGUCCCUCCUGAUAACACCUCGGGGCUCGGUGAGUCUGUCCCCCGGAUUACAGAACCGGGUGUGGGGCGGGAGGAGCGCACGGGCACCCCGGCUCGGUAGCCAGUUGGUCAGAAGCGCAGUGGCUCCGCGUCCCUCACAGGUGGCUGGAGGAGUGUGUGAGGAGGUGACACUGCCGUUGGGGACCUGCCCCUUCACCCAGUGGGGUGUGCACCACUUGCAGGAGGUCAGUGAGGAACCGGGCUCAGUACCCCGGCUGGGGGGGCAGGACGAGGCGGCUUCCUUCCGGGGCGGGACGGGCCCACACAGGGGACGAACGCGCGCAGGAAGCAAGGACACGGAAGGGCCCGAGUCAGAGAGCGACUCGGAGCAGCCCUUUCUGAGAGCGAGGGCACGUCAGGACCAGCGAACUCACCUACCCCGCUUUUAUUUUCUUCUGUACACAUGCAGAGAGUGCGCUGUGACCAAAUGCUGUGAUGAAAGGGGUCCAGGGAGCCCCCGUGUGAACGUGAAACACAACUUCUACACGACAAGGCGCGGGCAUAGUUUCACACGCAGCGUUCCGUCUUCCCUAGAGGCGCCUAAAGUAGUGGUGACAAAAUGUGGGUGCAGACAACACGGUCCAGAGAGACGCUCGCCCUGGACAGUCCGCGGGGGCCUCCUGGGCCUCCCGAAGGGACCAGAGGAGCAGAGCCCCCCCCGGGAAUGGCCUCGACAGACACCGGGAGGGACUGCGGAAAGUUCCACUCCUUUCACAGUUUCUGAAAACUCUCAGAGAACCUCCUCCACUGGUAAAAUCUAUUUCUGGGGCGCCUGGGUGGCUCCGACCCUUGAGGUUGGCUCGGGUCAUGAUGCCAGGGUCGUGGGACUGAGCCCCAGGUCAGGGUCCGCCCUGAGUGCGGAGCCUGCCUAG